RNAcentral lists this long non-coding RNA (597 nucleotides) under Lathyrus oleraceus (garden pea). RNAcentral describes it as "Pisum sativum (pea) long non-coding RNA (PSAT_LNC000338)". The record is from RNAcentral. Lineage: Eukaryota; Viridiplantae; Streptophyta; Magnoliopsida; Fabales; Fabaceae.
CAGAACCUAUUAACAUGAAAAAAAUGCAGGAUGCAGGGUGUGCUGAGCCGCUCAUUUUAAUUAACCUGUUAGCUGUGGAAACUUUGUUAUGCUUUGAUGUGAUGCUGCUUGGAUCAACGGUUAUGUUGCAAGAAGAUUGUGUUGCUGGCUGUAGUGUUGGAAUGCAUAGUUUCACCUUACUGUCAUGAACCAUGUUAAUUUCCCAUUAUUACAUGAAGGAAGGAACUUGGUAGGUUGAUGCGCGAUGGACCCGAGCCGUUAUGUAAUCACCAUGGUCUGUUUGAAUGCAACGGGUACCUCAAAGUGCCAUCUCACUUGCUGAUUUGAAAGAGUAUUGCUGCUAUUGAAAUGGUGGCGGGCGAGCAUGAAGAAGAGGAAAAGCUUGGUCUAGUAAAGUGGAGUAUGCAGUUGAUGUUAGUGCUUUUGGAAUCUUAAAUGUUAGUUUAUUGGCUUUCAAAUGUAUUCUUAUGUAAUGUGUAAAAACAGUAAGGAUUAUUAUUCACUAUGCAUUGAUUUUCAUUGAUUUGUAUUGAAUGUCAUUAUCAUGAAAGGUUGUCUUGAAUGAUUUGGAAUUAAUAGAUGGAGAACUUAAAGGAU